CACUUUGUUUUUUUUACAGAUCCAGAGCUGUUUUCUUCAGCUCAAACGAAGCUGACAGCUGGAAAGUACAAAAUACAUUAUAUUCUGAAGUGAUUUGUUCAUUUAUUAGCCACAGCCUGAUUUGGAUAAUAUUUAAUUCUUGAAAACAUGAUCAAAUUUUUUGGGAUUGUUUGAUUUCUAGAGUGAUGAUAAGGGAGACACUCUGUAAAACUUUGACCAGUGGCGGAUCUUUCCGUGGGGGUAUGGGGAUCCCCCCCAAAAAAUGUUGGUUGGAAAUUUACAUUACUGAUGAUCCGAUUUCCGACGCUCCUCCACGCAACUUCGUUGUCCGACUGCACCUGAAUGUACCAAUGACGUUACUUUGAUCUUUUGACUGUAUUUCGUUUGGGUUUGAAGAAGCUUUGAAGAUGUUUCCUGAUGCCAGAGAAGACGAGCAGCUUUGGACCCUAGCGGUAAGAAGACUGUGGCCGUUUCUCAGUACCUAACUGUCAGCACUUGGUUCUCAGGUGCAUGGAUAUGAAUCAGAUACAGAGGCCUUGGUCUGGAUCGUUUGGAACAUCUAAUCUGAUGGAAUGAGAGCUCCAGAGAACAUGAACAUCCAGCUGUGGUUGUCUAAAGAGUCUUCUCUCCUUCAUCACUGUGAGCAAGAGCAGCACUGAUGUCCUCCUCAUCCUUCCUGUAAUAACAAUAAUGCUGCAGAUUCACCUCCUCUUUUCAUAAUACAACUUGUCUUGUGACUGUUCAGUUUUUAUACAUCAAUGUCAGCAACACAUUAGCUAUUUCAUCCAUUUAUUACAUGUCUUAACACAUCUUUACAGUUCAGAAUGGUUAAAGAAUGUGCAAUAAAAGAAAUAAUGGUG
This is a long non-coding RNA of Acanthochromis polyacanthus (spiny chromis), 860 nucleotides long. RefSeq lists it as uncharacterized. The record is from RefSeq and is a predicted model, not a curated record. The transcript is spliced from 2 exons. NCBI's taxonomy places the organism in Eukaryota, Metazoa, Chordata, Actinopteri, Pomacentridae.